Molecule: long non-coding RNA, 670 nt
Filed under: Rattus norvegicus (Norway rat)
Lineage: Eukaryota; Metazoa; Chordata; Mammalia; Rodentia; Muridae
Description: long non-coding RNA NONRATT021944
Source: RNAcentral
GGUCGCUGAGUUGUCCUGAAGCUCGGGUGAGGACUGAAUGCUGGGCUCCUGUGUCUACCAGUUAGCAGUGGAAUUUUAAAGUAGAGACAUCAUUAAGGAGUCAGAAGAUCAACAUGGGAGACCUUGAAAAGGGGGCUGCAACCCAUGGGGCCGGAUGCUUUGCCAAGAUCAAGGUGUUUCUGAUGGCAUUAACAUGUGCAUAUGUAUCCAAAUCGCUAUCAGGAACUUUCAUGAGUUCCAUGCUCACACAAAUAGAGAGACAAUUCGGUAUCCCCACAGCUAUAGUUGGAUUCAUCAAUGGGAGCUUUGAGAUAGGUGUUUAUAACUUACCUGCAAUAUGCAUUGGAUAUUUAAUUGCUGGCUUCAUGAUGAAGAAAUUCAAGAUCACUGUCAAGACAGCUGCAUUCCUCGCAUUCUGCCUAUCCUUGUCUGAAUAUAGUUUUGGUUUCUGUAACUUCCUAAUUACCUGUGAUAAUGUCCCAGUUGCUGGUUUGACUAACUCUUAUGAAAGAGAUCAGAAACCUCUAUACUUGGAAAAUAAUGUUCUUGCUGACUGCAACACAAGGUGCAGCUGCUUGACGAAAACAUGGGAUCCAGUGUGUGGAGACAAUGGCCUAGCAUACAUGUCAGCCUGCCUCGCAGGCUGCGAGAAGUCUGUUGGAACUGGAAC